This is a long non-coding RNA of Erinaceus europaeus (western European hedgehog), 1281 nucleotides long. RefSeq lists it as uncharacterized. NCBI's taxonomy places the organism in Eukaryota, Metazoa, Chordata, Mammalia, Eulipotyphla, Erinaceidae. The transcript is spliced from 4 exons. The record is from RefSeq and is a predicted model, not a curated record.
GGUUGCCAGCUAGGUUAGUUACACUAUUUGAUUCUGUGUCCACUCCUGCUCACUCACAAGGCAUUGCAACAACCAGCACACAGAACUCAUCGGUGGCUGCCCCAAAGUGUUUCCGCUGGGCAACAUUCACUUUUGCUUCCUCGUGGUUUGUGAAGCACCAUCUGGAACCCUCCACGUCACACCUUGUGUUUGGUCUGGGCAUCGUGUGUGAUGUAAACGUGGAAAAGCGACAUCUUCCAGGGUCCGCAGCUGGAAGGGCCCCUCAAGCUGAGCUCAGCCAUGUGUCCUGUAAAUUGGGCUGCCGGUGAUACCAUGAGCUUCUAGCAGCUUCUUACCUAUUUACACACCUGAGAAGAACUCUUGCUCACAUAGGUAAUCUGCUAUCUCACGAAUAUUAUUCAGGAAGACGAGCUUGAAGAAAGGAGGAAUAAAUGUAAAGGAAAAGCUUAGAAACAGUUUCACAAAGCCGGGAGCCUGUGAAAUGGGUCUGUCGCACCCGUGCCCACAUGAUCCUUCGUGACUCUCUUGUGGUGGUGACACCAUCAGAACACCUGCCCCGGAGUCCCCCAGAAGAGCCGCUCACGGAGCUGCGGAGAGCUGAGGUUUCGCAGUUUAACGAGCUCUGCAGGUGCGAGCAACACUCAGGACAGAGCGGGAGAACUACUGCACUAUAGCAAAGCUUUCUUUUCUGGUCGGUGCCCACACUGUUCCAGGAAACUAGAAAGGUGCACGGGCUUCAGAGAAAGAAGGCUUCCUUGCUCUGAUAACUUCCAACUGUGGUCAGGGAGCCAGCAGACCUAACCUCAGUAUCUCCACAUCCGUCAAGCAGGACAUUAGGACCAACAAGCCUCCUUGGGGAGUUUACAGAUGAUGGAUGGGAACCGCCCUAUUUGCUGGGAGCACGCUGAAAAUGGAAUUCACACCCAUUUUGUCUCUGUGCAGUGUCACAAACUCAGGCAGCGACUUCUGUGGCUCGGCCUGACUGUGACGGAACGCUUCACGAACUUCAGGACCUCAAAGAGGAAAUCUCACAUUAAGUGAAACAUGAGCCAGUCAACCAUUGACCAUAAUAUGUCCAGAUGAUGGCUUGUGAAUCUGGGCUGGAGGGAGACCCUGCCAGAAAUCUGUGACAUCACUGCUGACGCCCAUGGCAGACAGACCUUUGUUGAUAAGAUGCAGAGAAGCACAAGAGAACUCUUGCUAGAAAGGGUUUGAGACAUACUUCAUUUGAUUUGUUUAUUGUCUUUACAAAUUAAAUUACAGUGCAUACCAAUGCUCAGU